This 498-nucleotide ribosomal RNA is filed under the name uncultured bacterium. RNAcentral describes it as "bacterial SSU rRNA". It matches the Rfam family "Bacterial small subunit ribosomal RNA", at positions 501 to 1000 of the family's 1533-position model. The record is from RNAcentral.
CUACGUGCCAGCAGCCGCGGUAAUACGUAGGGUGCGAGCGUUAAUCGGAAUUACUGGGCGUAAAGCGGGCGCAGACGGUUACUUAAGCAGGAUGUGAAAUCCCCGGGCUCAACCUGGGAACUGCGUUCUGAACUGGGUGACUAGAGUGUGUCAGAGGGAGGUAGAAUUCCACGUGUAGCAGUGAAAUGCGUAGAGAUGUGGAGGAAUACCGAUGGCGAAGGCAGCCUCCUGGGAUAACACUGACGUUCAUGCCCGAAAGCGUGGGUAGCAAACAGGAUUAGAUACCCUGGUAGUCCACGCUGUAAACGAUGUCGAUUUGGGGGUUGAACUUUAGGUUUGGCGCCCGUAGCUAACGUGAUAAAUCGACCGCCUGGGGAGUACGGCCGCAAGGUUAAAACUCAAAUGAAUUGACGGGGGCCCGCACAAGCGGUGGAGCAUGUGGUUUAAUUCGAUGCAACGCGAAGAACCUUACCUACUCUUGACAUCCAGAGAACAUUC